GCCGUAAACGUUAUCAGCGAUUUUAUUUAGGAGAUACAUGUAUUAACGCUAAAAGACACGAGACGUUCUGGCGUAAAAUAUUGGACACGUUUUGGCGAAUAACAUUUAUCGGACACGUUUGGGGGUUAUGAAUUCGGACACGUUUGGGGAAUAUUGUACAUUUCGGACACGUUUAGGGAGAAAAGACACGUUUGGGGGAAUCGGACACGUUUGGGGGGAAGGACACGUUUGGGAGUGUUACA
This 242-nucleotide long non-coding RNA is filed under the name Mytilus galloprovincialis (Mediterranean mussel). The record is from RNAcentral. Lineage: Eukaryota; Metazoa; Mollusca; Bivalvia; Mytilida; Mytilidae.